This 1125-nucleotide ribosomal RNA is filed under the name Vibrio sp. FPO5. Its description in RNAcentral is "bacterial SSU rRNA". It matches the Rfam family "Bacterial small subunit ribosomal RNA", at positions 38 to 1181 of the family's 1533-position model. Lineage: Bacteria; Pseudomonadati; Pseudomonadota; Gammaproteobacteria; Vibrionales; Vibrionaceae. The record is from RNAcentral.
UGUGACCGGGCCUAAACAUGCAAGUCGAGCGGAAACGACUUAUCUGAACCUUCGGGGGACGACAACGGCGUCGAGCGGCGGACGGGUGAGUAAUGCCUAGGAAAUUGCCCUGAUGUGGGGGAUAACCAUUGGAAACGAUGGCUAAUACCGCAUGAUGCCUACGGGCCAAAGAGGGGGACCUUCGGGCCUCUCGCGUCAGGAUAUGCCUAGGUGGGAUUAGCUAUUUGGUGAGGUAAGGGCUCACCAAGGCGACGAUCCCUAGCUGGUCUGCGAGGAUGAUCAGCCACACUGGAACUGAGACACGGUCCACACUCCUACGGGAGGCAGCAGUGGGGAAUAUUGCACAAUGGGCGCAAGCCUGAUGCAGCCAUGCCGCGUGUGUGAAGAAGGCCUUCGGGUUGUAACGCACUUUCAGUCGUGAGGAAGGUAGUGUACUUAAUAUCUGCAUUAUUUGACGUUAGCGACAGAAGAAGCACCGGCUAACUCCGUGCCAGCAGCCGCGGUAAUACGGAGGGUGCGAGCGUUAAUCGGAAUUACUGGGCGUAAAGCGCAUGCAGGUGGUUUGUUAAGUCAGAUGUGAAAGCCCGGGGCUCAACCUCGGAAUUGCAUCUGAAACUGGCAGACUAGAGUACUGUAGAGGUGGGUAGAAUUUCAGGUGUAGCGGUGAAAUGCGUAGAGAUCUGAAGGAAUACCGGUGGCGAAGGCGGCCCCCUGGACAGAUACUGACACUCAGAUGCGAAAGCGUGGGGAGCAAACAGGAUUAGAUACCCUGGUAGUCCACGCCGUAAACGAUGUUUACUUGGAGGUUGUGGCCUUGAGCCGUGCUUUCGGAGCUAACGCGUUAAGUAGACCGCCUGGGGGAGUACGGUCGCAAGAUUAAACUCAAUGAAUUGACGGGGGCCCGCAGCGGUGGAGCCUGUGUCUACUUCGAUGUACGCGAGACUUACCUACUCUGACAUCCAGAAGAACUUCAGUGAUGAUUGUGCUUCGGACUCUGAGAACGUGCUGCAUGGCUGUCGUCAGCCUCUUGUUGUGAAUGGUGUAGUUCCCGCACGGGCCACAACUUAUCUUGUUGCAGCGGAUAGUCGAAUCUCGAAACUGCGGUAAAAGGAAGAAGUGUGGGGG